RNAcentral lists this ribosomal RNA (1779 nucleotides) under Triticum aestivum (bread wheat). RNAcentral's name for it is "partial small subunit ribosomal RNA". Lineage: Eukaryota; Viridiplantae; Streptophyta; Magnoliopsida; Poales; Poaceae. The record is from RNAcentral.
AUGUUGCCGCCGCCUCCACCCUCGUUGCCUGUGGGCUUCAAGCCGGUUGACGUCCCGCCGCCAUCCCUAUCGUCUUCCCGGUCAGAUCCGGAUCGGGACCUCCUGCUUCCGCCGCCGCAGACGACGACGCUGGACCUGCCCACCCAGCUUCGUGCCGUGCCCAUGGCGGUGCUGGUGAUGCCUCCGUGCGAGCUCGUAGCGCCCACAUCACCGAAGCUCCCCAUGCCCGCGGCUACCGGCAACUGCCCAGCUCCGGCGCCGGCCACCGCGACACCGACGCCACCCAUGCCCGCGGCAGCUGGUGGCUGCCCCGCUCCGUCGACGACGGCUGCUGCUGUCGACAUCCUGGUCCCCGUGGCGGCUCCGUCCCUCCUCCAGCCGGCCGCGCCCGGGAGCUCGCGUCCAUCGCCACCGAGCUCGCUCCCCUCCGAGCCAGCGCCCGUGGUCCCUCCCGCAUCGACGUUCGCCGCCGCCGCACUAGCCGCGGCUGCACUUGCUUGCCGCAGAUCGGACCCGGCCAUCGGAGGGCAGAAGGCUCGUUCCCAGGAGGGCCUGGAUACCUUUGCUUCGCCGCCUGCUGGACGCCCUUGCCUGCCCGGCGGCCAACCUCCUGCACUCGUUGCUCCUGGUUGGGGGGAUUGGCGUGGAUGCUUCCAUCGUGAUGAGGCGGCUGAUGUUCUCGAGCGUGAGCAAGGGGGAUGGCAGACUGUCUCGAAGGGGCGCUGCUCGCCGCCUCCUGCAGCUUUUGGUCGCCCUUCCAUCAAUGUGCGGCGUUCCCCUCCGACGUGGCUGAGAGACAGGUGUUUCCGGUGUCUCCGUCGAGGUCAUCGCGCAUACUCCUGCAGGGAUCCAAUCCGAUGCACUGACUGCCUUCGAUCUGGACAUAUCGCUCGCUUCUGUCGUGCUAAGAAGCCUGUCCACCAAGCUUCGCCGCUCCAAUGUCAUGCUCCAUCGGCUGCUUCCACCGGUGAUGUCUCCAUGAUAGAUGUGCAGAUCCCGUCUAUCUCGGCUGAGCAUGUCGGGUUGGUGGAGGAGACCAAGAUGCUUCGCACUGAGCUUCACGACUGCCUUGCGCGUGCCGGCAGUGUUUUGGGGAGGGCGGAGGCUGCUCUUGCCAAACUAGAGGUUGUCUCUGUCGAUGGGGAAGGUGGCAUGUAUGGAGAUCUCUCCCCUCGUGCUACAGUAUGUCAGUUGCCGCUGCCUGUCAUGCCGAUUCCUUCAGGGAGUGAACUCAUUGUUGAGGUCGUGACUCCGGUGCUGCGGAUUAUGUCUGAGCUUCAGAAGCUUUGUGGGGAGCCCACUUUGCCUAUUUCGAUGGUGCUUCCCGAGGAGAUAGGGUCUCUUGGAGGGGACUUGGCGAUGCCGACUGCGACCUCAUCGUUUUCAUUGGAGCCGAGUCAGCCGCUUGCCUUUGUGGACCUUGGAGGUUUGGCGGCUGCUGCUGCUCUCUCACCUGAGGUUGUUGGCCCGGUGGCGUCUGUUGGUGCUGAGUUUGAUGAGGUAGGUGCUUUGACACCUGUGUCUAAGGCGCCGAAGCCCGUCCAGUCUCUCAUCUUUGACCGCGACGCUAUGUUGGCACGUAUUGAUGAGGUGGUCUUCGCGAAAAAGCUUGGCCGCUUGCUCACCAGCUUGGAUGCAGCUUGUCCUGGGUCUGCCAAGACGAUUGCUUGCCUCCUAGCGGAGGAGGUUUCUACGGGCAAAAUAAAGAAGGUGAAGAAGGCUAUCAGGAACAUAGGCAAGAAGACUGACGUUAUUAGGAAGGCGUCCGCGACUGCUUAA